AGAGUUUGAUCAUGGCUCAGAGCGAACGCUGGCGGCAGGCUUAACACAUGCAAGUCGAACGGGCACUUCGGUGCUAGUGGCAGACGGGUGAGUAACACGUGGGAACGUACCUUUUGGUUCGGAAUAAUCCAGGGAAACUUGGACUAAUACCGGAUACGCCCUUCGGGGGAAAGAUUUAUCGCCGAAAGAUCGGCCCGCGUCUGAUUAGCUAGUUGGUGAGGUAAAGGCUCACCAAGGCGACGAUCAGUAGCUGGUCUGAGAGGAUGAUCAGCCACAUUGGGACUGAGACACGGCCCAAACUCCUACGGGAGGCAGCAGUGGGGAAUAUUGGACAAUGGGCGCAAGCCUGAUCCAGCCAUGCCGCGUGAGUGAUAAAGGCCUUAGGGUUGUAAAGCUCUUUUGUCCGGGAAGAUAAUGACUGUACCGGAAGAAUAAGCCCCGGCUAACUUCGUGCCAGCCGCCGCGGUAAUAC
This 472-nucleotide ribosomal RNA is filed under the name uncultured bacterium. RNAcentral describes it as "bacterial SSU rRNA". It matches the Rfam family "Bacterial small subunit ribosomal RNA", at positions 8 to 526 of the family's 1533-position model. The record is from RNAcentral.